Molecule: long non-coding RNA, 5222 nt
Filed under: Sorghum bicolor (sorghum)
Lineage: Eukaryota; Viridiplantae; Streptophyta; Magnoliopsida; Poales; Poaceae
Description: long non-coding RNA (SBIC_LNC011282)
Source: RNAcentral
AUUCAAGCUCGACAGAUUCGCUGGAUUCGUCGCAAGGUAUCACUGAGAUUUGUUCCCCCUAGUCUCGUCGUGAUUGCAUCCACAGGGUUUUCGAUUCAGGGUCGUAUGGAUAUGAUUUGUUUUUCUAGGUUUUCUAUCUCCCCGCUCCUAUUCCGGUGGGUUGGUUUGUGCUGCGGCAGUGGAUUCGGGAGUGGAUUCAUUGUCCCUGGCUGUGUGAAAGGUCCUAAUAUGGCUAGAGGGGGGGUGAAUAGCCUAUUUACAAAUUCUACAAACUCACUAGAGCAAGAGGUUAGUAAAUAACAAAGCGAAGCUUUUUUCUCUAGCUCUAAUGGGGUGUUUGCAAGCCACCUAUCCAACAAUUCUAGUUGAUAUAAUCACUAGGCACACAAGAGCUAUGUCACUACUUACACUAGAAAGCUACCUAAAGUUUCUAUACAAGUAAGUAAGCUACUCUAGUUUGCGGGAAUGUAAAAGAGUGGAUGAGAUAAUUAUACCACCGAGUAGGGGAUGAACCAAUCACCAAUAUAAACAACCAAGCACCGGGAGAAUGCCAAUCAAACACAAUUGAGACACCGAUUUUUCUCCCGAGGUUCACGUGCUUGCCGGCACGCUACGUCCCCGUUGUGUCGACCAACACUUGGUGGUUCGGUGGCUAAGAGGUGUAGCACGAACCUCGUCCUCACUAGGACACCACAAGAACCUACCCACAAGUGAGGUAGCUCAAUGACACGAGCAAUCCACUAAUGUUGCCUUUGGCUCUCCGCCGAGGUAGGCACAAACCUCUCACAAUCGCCGGGAGAUGGCCACGAACAAUCACCAACUCGUGCCAAUCCUCCUCCGCUGCUCCAAGCCGUCUAGGUGGCGGCAACCACCAAGAGUAACAAGAAAACCGCAGCCAAAUCGAUCCCCAAGUGCCACUAGAUGCAAUCACUCAAGCAAAUGCACUUGGAAUCACUCCCAAUCUCACAAAGAUGUUUAAUCUAUGAAGGAGAUGAGUGGGAGGAGUUUGCUUAGGCUCACAAGGAUGUCAAGUAUGUUAGAAUGCCAAGAGUGUGAGCCCCAAGCCGGCCAAACACGUAUAUAUAGCCCCUCAAACAAAUAGAGCCGUUGGCUCUUUCAUUGGGCAAAACUCGGGGUCACCAGACGCUCUUAAAGGGGCACUGGACGCUCAACACCAGCGUCCGGUGCUCCAACAUCAGCCGCGUGUCAGAGCCUAACGGUAACCUGCAAAGCACCGGACGCUGAGCAAGCGUCCGGUGCACACCGGACUCAUGCGCAGAGAGUUCCGCAAACUCGCAGAUUCACCGGACGCAAGCCACCGGACGCACCCUCAGCGUCCGGUGCUCACUGGACCCAUGCGCAGAGAGGGUCGCAGAACGCCCGCACACCGGACGCGCACCACCGGACGCUCAAGCCAGCGUCCGGUGCCUAUCGUCCGGUGCCUUACCCUAGCUGGGCCAGGCACUGUCUGCACACCGGACGCUCAGACACAGCGUCCGGUGCCUCUAAGCCAGCGUCCGGUGAGUGUUUUCUCAGCGAGAAACACUCCCGCGACUUCACCAAAUUUCCCUCCGGCGCAAUAGAAAAAAUGCACUUCAUUUUCUCGAAAAGCGCCGAAUCCCGCCUCGCAAGCUCGGCGGGAGGGAGAGAGAGGAACCCAUCCUCUCUCAACCCUUCAAACUUCAACUCCCUUCUCAAAGUGUGCCAACACCACAAUGUGUAAACCAACAUGUGCACGUGUGUUAGCAUUUUCACAAUCAUUUUCUUCGAAGGAGUUAAGUUAGCUCACUAGGUUCUAAAUGCAUGCACAUGAACAAUGACACCUAGUGGCACUUGAUAACCGCUUAGCCAAAGAAUUCCCCUCUUUAUAGUACGGCUAUCUAUCCUAAAUGUGAUCACACCCUCUAUGGUGUCUUGAUCACUAAAACCAAAACCCUAAGCAAUACCUUUGCCUUGAUCUCCAUAGGGUUUGUUUUUCUCUUUCUUCUUUUCCAAGUUGAGCACUUGAUCAUCUUGUGGUCAUCACCAUCAUCACCAUGAUCAUCACUUUCUCCAUCACUUGGCAUGUACCAACCUUAUUAAGUCUACACACACUUAGUAUAGAGGUUAGUACUUAGGGUUUCAUCAAUUAUCCAAAACCAAACUAGGGCUUUCACCGUGGUUCUGAUGUAGUUGGUGCUGAGUUCAACGGAGCGCAGGCGCGAGAUUCGGUAGAGAGCGGUUGCUGGAAAGGAGCCGACCGGGUUGAUGUUGGGGAGGGAGAGGGCGGUGAUGGCGUCGCUGGCGGCAUCACAGGUGACGCCCAUCCAGGCGCAGGGCGUGGCGUCGCUGGCGUUCCAGUCGUCGUCCUGGUUGAGCAGAUGGAUGCCGUCCUGGUUUAGCGCCUUAUUGACAUUUGGCGAGGAGGAGGUAUAGGUUUGGGAGGAAGGAGGUAGGGGCAACCAUGCUAGAUGCGAUGGAUGUCGUUGGUGGCUCAGAGUGCUUGUGGGGGCAAAGCAGGUGUCGGCAUCGGCAUCGGCAAGGGCCGGUGAAGAAGGGCAAGAGAAUGGGAAUGGAAUGGUUAGCUACUGCCUACGUGCUUCGCUAAUUGGGCCUGUGAAGAAGGGAAGAGAAUGAGAAUGGAAUGGUUGAAUACCUGUGUGGCGUCAGUCGAUCUGUGUGCGUUGUGUAACUAUGUUUCUCUUGUCUCUGCUUUUCCCUUUCCCCUGCUGUAGAUAGAUGCAUUGGGUUUGUGUUAGGAUUUCAGGUUUAGCUGUUCUGGACAGAGUUUAGAAAAUAUGUUCUUCUUGACUCUUUUGAUGAUAUAUAAGAAAGGAUAUUCUCAAAUUUGGGUGUACAAAAUCUAGCUAUGUACUUAUGUUUGGUAGGGACAGAGGCUAAUGAAUUGAAACACACCAUUUUUUAUCUAAACAUUUAUAUAGUAUGUAGUAACCUGGGUGACUCAAGCUGCUGCUCUGUUUUCUAGCUCCCUAGCUUCCCAUCCGGUAGAGUGCAGACUCUAGUAUAAUGUUUGUCAUUGCUCAAAUUUGAUCAGUAGGGAAAGAUGAAUUUAUCACCUGCAAUUUAAGAAGUUUUACUUUAUAUUAAAUAUGGUUCAACUGCAAGCUAUGUUCCUUUCAGAUUUUGCAUUUGCAUACAAAAUGAUAGGAAAUAGAUUUGGUUAAAUAUGAUUCUAAUUUUUUUAUGAAUUGGUUACAUAUGGCUGAUGAGGGAGAUUCUUUUGUUGAAGGAGAAAAGUUCAAAUCAAAUGAAGAGUUGGAGUUGGAGUCUUCUAAUAAUGAUGUAAGAGUUGGAUAUUCUUCUACUUUAAUGUUGCAAUUCUUAGUAAUAUAGAAGACUGUAAAUAGUAACUAAUAUCUUAGUGUGUGUGUGCUAAUGUUCUAUAAAUUCUCAAUUGGGCAAUUUCUUUCUCAUUUUUUGUAUAUUUGAAUUACCAGUGACCUGAGUUUGUUUGGCGCUUGUUUUUUAGUUAGUGUGCUAACUGAGUUAUUUUAUUUAGAAAUCUGAUUCUUCUGGUGCUCCUAGUGACAAUGAUAAUGAUGGGGACAAGAGUGACAGUGGUGAGAGCACAACUAAUGAAUCUAUAGUGAGUAUUCUUUUUUGUAUAUUGUUUUUCUGAUAACUUAGCAUUUCUUGAGCUAUUAGUCUGUAUGAUCAAGUGUUUUUUAAUAUGAGUUCGUAUGUUCAAUUUUUAUGUUUAAGCUUUUAUUAUAAGUUUAAGUUGACUUUAAUAAAUUGUGUGUUUAAUGUUCAGAUACAAAUUGUAUGGUUUAGUUGUGUUAUGCAAGUUAAUAUAUCUUUUCGAGUAAUUUUUUGUUUGCAAGUUAGUAUGUUCAAUCAUAUUUAAGUUUAUUCUCCUGACUUAUAAGUUUAACUUUGUCCUGUAACUUUGUAUUGUCUAGUUACGUUCUGCAAGUUAUUAAGUUAGUAUGUUUAACUUGUAUGUUCUAUCUUUACUCAUAAGUUGUUUUGUUUGGAUAUUUUAAAAUUAGUAAGCCAAGAUUAGUUUCAAAACUAAUAGCUAUGUUAUUAAUUAUUUUACUUCUUUUUCCUUUUGACAUAAUGAGGAAUGUUUGCUACUUUUUUCUUAUAAUUUUUAGAUAUAAAUUGUUAUUUUGUUCCUCAAGUUAUUUUGUUGAACUUGUCCAAUAAUCUUUUAUUUGAAAGUUAGUAUGUUCAAGUUACAUGUUUUAAGUUUGUGCUGCUAACUUGUAAAUUUAAUUUGUGCUCCUAAUUUGAAUAUUUAAGUUAGUAUGUUCAAGUUGCAUGUUUUAAGUUUAUGCUGCUAACUUGUAAGUUUAACUUGUGCUCCUAAUUUGAAUGUCUAAGUUAUGUUCAAGUUGCAUGUUUUAAGCUUGUGCUCCUAAUUUAUACCAUUUCUUCUCCCACAGCCUUAGGAUUAUUAAAAUGUUGAAAGUUAAUUGGGUAGACCACCGGACAUUUGGAUUGUCAAUGCAAGUAUAUGGUUCAAUUUCAUUUCUCCUCAUGUGAUUAACAUUAUGGCAGUUACAAUAAUGGAAGAGCAAUUUCGUAAACAUUUUUUGGACUCUCUACCUUCCUUUGAGUGGUGUAAAAAUAUUUUUCCCCACUCUGUUUCUGUGAGUUCCUUUUCUAUUCUAUCAUUCUUUGUUUAUUCUUUUUCAUUUUUGGUUCCUUUUUAGAUAAAUUAUUAUUAUUCAUAAGCAUCUCUUGUUUUAUUUCACAGUUGGGAUUAUAUAACUUGUUGUACUUAUUUUACACAUUACUUUUAUGUUUUCAGUACUUGUAUAAAGUGUGCUAAUAUUUUCCUUUAAUUGAACUUGUUAGAUUCAAUUAUUUUCAAAUGUUCUAAUAAUUGUACUUGAUAAAUUAAUGUUUUGUUGUAGUCUGUUGUAAGUUUCUUCUGAAACUUUUAUCUCUACUUUCAUGCACAUAACCUCAUGUCUAACAUUUUAUAUCUAAUUCUUGACAUGUCUAAAUUUUUAUUUUUUAAACAUAACUUAUAUGUUUAGGUUUUAUCCACAUAACUUAUGCCUUAAUUUGUGGACAUGAAUAUUGUCAUUCAAGGACUUCAAUAUUGUCAAAGAAGAUGCUCUUGUAAUUGUCAGUAACUUUCGUAAAGUGUUCAAGUUUUCAUAUCCAGCAUCGAGAAGAGUUGAUGUUUAUAGGAUGGGCUUUGUUUUUCUAGUGUGUCCAAUUCAACAAGCCAGUAUGUUUUUUCUUACUUCUCCACCACUUUCUGA